Long non-coding RNA from Dreissena polymorpha, 1475 nucleotides. RefSeq lists it as uncharacterized. The record is from RefSeq and is a predicted model, not a curated record. Lineage: Eukaryota; Metazoa; Mollusca; Bivalvia; Myida; Dreissenidae. The transcript is spliced from 2 exons.
AUAAAAAAUUACUAUAUGAGGAUACUGGAGGUGGCAUUACAGUUCACAAAUGUGCAUUGAGUCUUGAUGGUGACUGGAUCUAUGUCACAAACUUAGCCCAGAACAAGCUCCUGAAAAUGGCCACAGAUGGAACCCUGAUAUCAAUCUUCAGUGACCCUGAAAUGAAAGGGCCAAAAGGUGUACACGUCACACCAACAGGGCAAGUCCUUGUAUGUGGUAUCAUCUCCCAUACUGUCAUACAAGUGGAUCGUGAGGGGAAAACAAAACUGGCAACUAUCGCUUUAGAGAAAGAUGGAAUUAGCUACCCAGUGUCAAUCUGCUACAACACCACCGCUAACCAGAUCAUUGCGGGACUAUAUGCUAGCAAUAAAAUACGUGUUAUGGAAUUGUAAUAGCUCAUCUAUGUGAAUUAAAAAAAUUGAUAUAAACAUAGCUAUAAAUGUAAUUUCCAUUUUUCUUUGAAUGGCACAUUUAGCAAUUAAUAUCCAGGUAGGGCCAAAACUUUUUUGAAAAGUGAAUUGUUUGACUGCUUUAGAUUAUAGCAAGCAUGAUUUAAAACAAGCAUGUAUGAAAAUUGUCAACUGAUCUUGAAUGAAGAAUGUGUGUUAAAUGUGCACAAUGUUAAAUGUGCACAGUCAAUUUUAAAUGAUUUUUUAAAUUAAAUGGUACUAAGUUUAACUAUUUUCGGAUAAAUUGAAUCUGUAUGUGUCUGUGUUGAUCUUUCUUAACGAACGAAACAAAAAGUUUACCCGGGGUACAUGUAAACUAAGUAGUACCCGAGCCGACAAUGACCCAUCGGGCAUAAAUUACUGAUAAUUAAUAAAUCAUUUCGUACAAAUCAAAAACUUACUGAGAGCGUUAUAACUAAAUCAAAUGAAUGUGUUAAAAAUAAUUCAGUUGUGAAUUUAUAACAAACAUACAGUAAUUCAUCUAGUUUACUAUAAAAAUGGCAAUAAACCAAAUGUCUGUUUAGUUGCUUAAAUGUCUUAAAGCAUCUCUGGACAAAAAUUAUUCUGACCAAAAAAACAACAACUUAUAUCACAAGAAACUAGAGCAUUUCAAGAGUCAUGAAAAGUUAAUAACAAAUGGCUACACUUUUAUAAUAAAAAAUUGGCUCAGCUUUGAUAUGAAAAAAUACAAUUAAUGUAAUGUUACCUUUGAAUUAAGGUGCAGAACACAAACACAUUCAUUGAUGGUUGUAAUAUCCCCAAAACAAAAGACUCAGUGACAACACAUGCUAAGUCUUAGGGUUAAGAGUUGUUUAAUGAAGAUAAUGCAAAUAUUUGAUACUUUGAUGUUGUUCUAGUUGGAUUGCUGGAUUUGUUUGUAAUUCAUGUGGUGAAUAAAAUCUGCUUAUAUGUUACAUGCCAUUGAUCUUGUUAAAUUUACUCCAUGUGAUAUGCCUUUAGUUGUGUGGAUUAAAGUUAUGUUAAGUGUGCUUCCAUGUAUUAAAUAAAUGAUGCUUUGUACUUUGA